RNAcentral lists this transfer RNA (101 nucleotides) under Rosa chinensis. RNAcentral's name for it is "sRNA RchiOBHm_Chr4g0426611". It matches the Rfam family "tRNA". Rfam says of the family: Transfer RNA (tRNA) molecules are approximately 80 nucleotides in length. Their secondary structure includes four short double-helical elements and three loops (D, anti-codon, and T loops). The record is from Rfam by way of RNAcentral. Lineage: Eukaryota; Viridiplantae; Streptophyta; Magnoliopsida; Rosales; Rosaceae.
UGGGAUGUAGCUCAAAUAUGGUAGAGCUCUCGGGCUUGUAACUUGCAUCUCCAAGUCUCAAGAUUUUCGAGAAGAUCAAGGUUCAAAUCCUUGUGUCCCAC